CUCAUGGUUUCACGGUAUUGCAAUGAGAACAAUUUAAAACCCUUAGCGAGAAUCAAGUGGAGGACAAGUCUGGUGCCAGCACCCGCGGUAAUUCCAGCUCCACUAGCGUAUAUUAAAGUUGUUGCAGUUAAAAAGCUCGUAGUUGAACCUCUGUCUGGGGCUAGUUUUGGCUUUGGUCAGGCUAGUUCUAGGCAUCCGCCUACAAGACUUAGAGGGCAUUCAGUUGUUCACUAGGAGGAGUAGGCAUUUUACUUUGAAAAAAUUAGAGUGUUUAAGGCAGGCAAUCGCCCGCAUAUAUUAGCAUGGAAUAAUAGAAUAGGACACUUUUCCAUUUCGUUGGUUAUUGAAAUCGUGUAAUGAUUAAUAGGGACAGUUGUGGGCAUUUGUAUUUAAUUGUCAGAGGUGAAAUUCUUGGAUUUAUUAAAGACAAACUAACGCGAAAGCAUUUGCCAAGGAUGUUUUCAUUAAUCAAGAACGAAAGUUAGGGGAUCAAAGACGAUCAGAUACCGUCCUAGUCUUAACUAUAAACUAUUCCGACUCAAUGUUUGACUGGCUUAUAUAACCAGUUGAGCGUUGUAUGAGAAAUCAAAGUCUUUAGGUUCUGGGGGGAGUAUGGUUGCAAAGCUGAAACUUAAAGGAAUUGACGGAAGAGCACAACCAGGAGUGGAUUCUGCGGCUUAAUUUGACUCAACACGGGGAAACUUACCAGGUUAAAACAAUAGUGGGAUUGACAGUUUGAGAGCGCUUUCUUGAUUGGUUGGGUGGUGGUGCAUGGCCGUUCUUAGUUGGUGGAGUGAUUUGUCUGCUUAAUUGCGUUAACGAACGAGACCUUAACCUGCUUACUAGACUGGCGAUCAUCAAUCGUUAGCUCUUCUUAGAGGGACUUUGGUUGUUUUAACUCCAAGGAAGUUUGAGGCAAUAACAGGUCUGUGAUGCCCUUAGAUAUCCUGGGCCGCACGCGUCAUACAAUGACUAGUUCAGAAAGUUUUCUCCUGACCCGAAAGGGGAUGGGUAAUCUUGAUAAUACUAGUCGUGUUAGGGAUCGAUCUUUGCAAUUAUAGAUCUUGAACGAGGAAUUCCUAGUAAGUGCGGUUCAUCAGACCGUACUGAUUACGUCCCUGCUCUUUGUACACACCGCCCGUCGCUUCUACCGAGUGGGUGGUCCGGUGAGAUAAUUGAACUUCGCAGGUAACUGAGAGGAAAGAUUAUCAAACCUAUCCACCU
Molecule: ribosomal RNA, 1224 nt
Filed under: metagenome
Description: SSU rRNA
Rfam family: Eukaryotic small subunit ribosomal RNA
Source: RNAcentral